Molecule: long non-coding RNA, 1482 nt
Organism: Chinchilla lanigera (long-tailed chinchilla)
Lineage: Eukaryota; Metazoa; Chordata; Mammalia; Rodentia; Chinchillidae
Exons: 2
Source: RefSeq, a predicted model, not a curated record
CAGAAAUGAACAGGGUGGUGAAAAGGAGUGGGGGCAGGGAGGCUGAGGCUGUGCACCCAGAGCAGGCGAGGCCCCUUCGCAGCGGGUGGGGAGCGGGCGGGGGCAAGGCGGGGAGGCAAGCAGAACGGAGAGCUGGCUCAAGCGGAGGCAAAGCUGUCUCUUUCCGGGCAUCCAGGAGCCUGGCCAAAUCCAGGCUCCACUAAGAACCAGUGUGACUCUGUGAGGCUGGGCGCUCUCUGGGCCGGAGGCUCCCUUCCCAUCCACGCGGGGAGGCUCGCGCCCCCCCCAUUACUGUGCAGAUAGAAAAGGGAGUGGCAGCUGACAGACUGCGGUGUCACUAAUGAUAAUGAUUAACAGUGCGGUAAAAUCACACUAAUCCAAGUUUUUGUGAGCAGGUAGAAGGGAAAUGACCACCAAGUCAGUCACUUCAUGAAGCAGAGCUUUCUGAAAAAUGUCAAGUCAGUUCUGCGAAUUUACACAUGGGUGAGGGCUCAGAAACAUGUCCCCCACCAGCAGCUACUGCUACUUCAACUACUUCUACCAACAUCACUACGCUACUGUCACGAUCACAGCUACUACGGCCGGUUCGCAUUUAUUGAGCACUAAGGGCCAGGCACGGCGCUAGGAGUUUGGCAAGCGUUGCUUCUGACCCUCAUGCCACCUGAACCGGAGGCAAGGAUUCUGGUGUGAAUUUUACAGGUGAGGAAAUAGAGCCUUGGAGUGGCAGAAUUUGAACCUCCCUCAAUCACCCAUGUGGACUGACACCCCUUUGACCAUCCCUUGCCAUGGAUCUUAUCUGCACCCUGCCUUCCUCUUUCCUAGGCUGCUGUAACUGUGGCCUUAAUACUGGAUCCCUCUCCUUUACCAAAGUCCCCAAUCAGUAUCACUUCUCUUAGCUGUGGCCUUCAAAGUCCUCACUUUGGAUAAGGACAGUCUGCAUAUCCGUGACUUAACCAGUCUUCCCUCUGCCUACCCCCAUUCACAGGAAACGGCCUUCACUCUGCAAAGCCCAGUAAUGUCAAAACUAUUCCACGAUGCUAUCUGCCACCCAGCAGAAAUGAGUCCUGCUGACUGCAACCCAUCACAUCUACCACGGACCUUGUACCCAGGUGAAGCCACUUCCUCAUUUUUAUCUUUGCUCAGGAGGAACGUGGGUUUGGCUCAGCGGCCAAAGUGGUGAUUAUGACUCAGCUGCCUCCUCUUGUAAUUCUCUUUUCCUUCUUUCUACUUGCAUGGAGCAAGAAUGGGAAGCAAAAGGAUACCUAGAGUCCCCGGCCCUCUCUCCACAACUGGUUAUCACCUUUUCUCUAUGCCUUUCCCUCAUACCAAGGCAGGAUGGCUCACUGUGCCCCCGCCCCCGCCUCUGACCAUUCCAUGUGAGGAUCGUCAUGGCUCUGAGCCCAUGGGUGUCAGCAGCUUUGGCCCCUCUGCACUCCCCUAAGCCUAGCACAGUACCUGGUGCUCAAUAAAUGCUCACCCUGA